RNAcentral lists this ribosomal RNA (253 nucleotides) under uncultured bacterium. Its description in RNAcentral is "partial 16S ribosomal RNA". It matches the Rfam family "Bacterial small subunit ribosomal RNA", at positions 524 to 776 of the family's 1533-position model. The record is from RNAcentral.
UACAGAGGUGGCAAGCGUUGUUCGGAAUUACUGGGCGUAAAGGGUUCGUAGGUGGCCUACUAAGUCAGACGUGAAAUCCCUCAGCUUAACUGGGGAACUGCGUCUGAUACUGGGGGGCUUGAGUGCAGGAGAGGAACGCGGAAUUCCAGGUGUAGCGGUGAAAUGCGUAGAUAUCUGGAGGAACACCGGUGGCGAAGGCGGCGUUCUGGACUGCAACUGACACUGAUGAACGAAAGCCAGGGGAGCAAACGGG